This 468-nucleotide ribosomal RNA is filed under the name uncultured bacterium. RNAcentral's name for it is "partial 16S ribosomal RNA". It matches the Rfam family "Bacterial small subunit ribosomal RNA", at positions 28 to 507 of the family's 1533-position model. The record is from RNAcentral.
GACGAACGCUGGCGGCGUGCUUAACACAUGCAAGUCGAACGGAAAGGCCCUGCUUUUGUGGGGUGCUCGAGUGGCGAACGGGUGAGUAACACGUGAGUAACCUGCCCUUGACUUUGGGAUAACUUCAGGAAACUGGGGCUAAUACCGGAUAGGAGCUCCUGCUGCAUGGUGGGGGUCGGAAAGUUUCGGCGGUUGGGGAUGGACUCGCGGCUUAUCAGCUUGUUGGUGGGGUAGUGGCUUACAAAGGCUUUGACGGGUAGCCGGCCUGAGGGGGUGACCGGCCACAUUGGGACUGAGAUACGGCCCGGACUCCUACGGGAGGCAGCGGUGGGGAAUAUUGCACAAUGGGCGAAAGCCUGAUGCAGCAACGCCGCGUGCGGGAUGACGGCCUUCGGGUUGUAAACCGCUUUCGCCUGUAAGAAAGCGUGAGUGACGGUAAUGGGUAAAGAAGCACCGGCUAACUACGUG